GGUUGCCUAAUGGUUAGAGCAUCUACCUCGGGUGCAGGAGGUCGUGGGUUUGAACCCCAGCAGAGCCA
Non-coding RNA from Potamilus streckersoni, 68 nucleotides. The record is from the annotation of a GenBank genome assembly. NCBI's taxonomy places the organism in Eukaryota, Metazoa, Mollusca, Bivalvia, Unionida, Unionidae.